This 503-nucleotide ribosomal RNA is filed under the name uncultured bacterium. Its description in RNAcentral is "partial 16S ribosomal RNA". It matches the Rfam family "Bacterial small subunit ribosomal RNA", at positions 29 to 507 of the family's 1533-position model. The record is from RNAcentral.
AACGAACGCUGGCGGCGUGCCUAACACAUGCGAGUCGAACGAGAAAGGGGCUUCGGCUCCGAGUAAAGUGGCGCACGGGUGAGUAACACGUGGGUAACCUGCCUCUAAGAUUGGGAUAACUCGUCGAAAGAUGAGCUAAUACCGAAUAAGACCACAGUUCCCGCGGGAACAGGGGUCAAAGGUAGCCUCUGCUUGCAAGCUAUCACUUAGAGAUGGGCCUGCGCACCAUUAGCUAGUUGGUAGGGUAACGGCCUACCAAGGCAAAGAUGGUUAGCUGGUCUGAGAGGAUGAUCAGCCACACUGGAACUGAGACACGGUCCAGACUCCUACGGGAGGCAGCAGUGGGGAAUAUUGCGCAAUGGGCGAAAGCUUGACGCAGCAACGCCGCGUGAGUGAUGAAGGCCUUCGGGUCGUAAAGCUCUGUCGGGAGGAACGAAUGCUCCUGAGGUUAACAGCCUCGGGAGGUGACGGUACCUUCAAAGGAAGCACCGGCUAACUCUGUG